GGGGGCAUAGCUCAGUAGGUAGAGCACCGCCCUUUUAAGGCGGGCGUCGAUGGUUCGAAUCCAUCUGCCCUCA
RNAcentral lists this transfer RNA (73 nucleotides) under Candidatus Brocadia sinica JPN1. It matches the Rfam family "tRNA". Rfam says of the family: Transfer RNA (tRNA) molecules are approximately 80 nucleotides in length. Their secondary structure includes four short double-helical elements and three loops (D, anti-codon, and T loops). Further hydrogen bonds mediate the characteristic L-shaped molecular structure. tRNAs have two regions of fundamental functional importance: the anti-codon, which is responsible for specific mRNA codon recognition, and the 3' end, to which the tRNAs corresponding amino acid is attached (by aminoacyl-tRNA synthetases). tRNAs cope with the degeneracy of the genetic code in two manners: having more than one tRNA (with a specific anti-codon) for a particular amino acid; and 'wobble' base-pairing, i.e. permitting non-standard base-pairing at the 3rd anti-codon position. Lineage: Bacteria; Pseudomonadati; Planctomycetota; Candidatus Brocadiia; Candidatus Brocadiales; Candidatus Brocadiaceae. The record is from Rfam by way of RNAcentral.